RNAcentral lists this non-coding RNA (241 nucleotides) under Bacillus altitudinis. RNAcentral describes it as "T-box". It matches the Rfam family "T-box leader". From Rfam's summary of the family: Uncharged tRNA acts as the effector for transcription antitermination of genes in the T-box leader family. T-boxes are found upstream of many aminoacyl-tRNA synthetase genes and some amino acid biosynthetic genes usually in Gram-positive bacteria. The record is from RNAcentral. RNAcentral also lists the same sequence under 1 other name. Lineage: Bacteria; Bacillati; Bacillota; Bacilli; Caryophanales; Bacillaceae.
GAUAAAGCGCAAAUAGAGAAGAGUAUGUAAUGGCUGCCUCACACAGAGAACUCCGUGAAGCUGAGAAGGAGCUGGGAAGCGUUACAGAACCAAGCCUCUUAGCUCUGCACCGGAUUCAUUGUGAUGGUGGUGCAGCGGCAUUCUCCCGUUAUAGAGAAGGGUUAGCGAUAACCUGCUAAGGUUCAUCUGGUAACAGGUGAAUGAACUGAGGUGGCAACGCGGAGUCAAUCCCGUCCUCAAG